Molecule: ribosomal RNA, 482 nt
Filed under: uncultured Methanomassiliicoccales archaeon
Lineage: Archaea; Methanobacteriati; Thermoplasmatota; Thermoplasmata; Methanomassiliicoccales
Description: bacterial SSU rRNA
Rfam family: Archaeal small subunit ribosomal RNA
Source: RNAcentral
CAGCAGUCGCGAAAACUUCACAAUGGAGGCAACUCCGAUGAGGGGAUUCCAAGUGCUAGCACAUAUGUGUUAGCUUUUCUUAAGCAUAGAUAACUUAAGGAAUAAGGGCUGGGUAAGACGGGUGCCAGCCGCCGCGGUAAUACCCGCAGCCCAAGUGGUGGUCGAUUUUAUUGAGUCUAAAACGUUCGUAGCCGGUUCAUUAAAUCCUUGGGUAAAUCGGAUGGCUUAACUAUCCGAAUUCCGGGGAGACUGGUGAACUUGGGACCGGGAGAGGCCAGAGGUACUUCUGGGGUAGGGGUAAAAUCCUGUAAUCCUAGAAGGACCACCGGUGGCGAAGGCGUCUGGCUAGAACGGAUCCGACGGCGAGGGACGAAGCCCUGGGUCGCAAACGGGAUUAGAUACCCCGGUAGUCCAGGGUGUAAACGCUGCCGACUUGGUGUUGGAGGCCCUUCGGGGGCAUUCAGUGCCGGAGAGAAGUUGUU